This 492-nucleotide ribosomal RNA is filed under the name uncultured bacterium. RNAcentral describes it as "partial 16S ribosomal RNA". It matches the Rfam family "Bacterial small subunit ribosomal RNA", at positions 29 to 507 of the family's 1533-position model. The record is from RNAcentral.
AGUGAACGCUGGCGGUAGGCCUAACACAUGCAAGUCGAACGGCAGCACAGUAAGAGCUUGCUCUUACGGGUGGCGAGUGGCGGACGGGUGAGGAAUACAUCGGAAUCUACUUUUUCGUGGGGGAUAACGUAGGGAAACUUACGCUAAUACCGCAUACGACCUACGGGUGAAAGCAGGGGAUCUUCGGACCUUGCGCGAGUGAAUGAGCCGAUGUCGGAUUAGCUAGUUGGCGGGGUAAAGGCCCACCAAGGCGACGAUCCGUAGCUGGUCUGAGAGGAUGAUCAGCCACACUGGAACUGAGACACGGUCCAGACUCCUACGAGAGGCAGCAGUGGGGAAUAUUGGACAAUGGGCGCAAGCCUGAUCCAGCCAUACCGCGUGGGUGAAGAAGGCCUUCGGGUUGUAAAGCCCUUUUGUUGUGAAAGAAAAGCAGCAGGUUAAUACCCCGCUGUUCUGACGGUACCCAAAGAAUAAGCACCGGCUAACUUCGUG